This 64-nucleotide transfer RNA is filed under the name Exitianus nanus. Its description in RNAcentral is "tRNA-Val". The record is from RNAcentral. Lineage: Eukaryota; Metazoa; Arthropoda; Insecta; Hemiptera; Cicadellidae.
CAGAUUAUAGCUUAUUUAAAGCUUUUUAUUUACACUAAUAGGAAAACUCUAUUGUUUAUUCUGA